AUUGAACGCUGGCGGCAGGCCUAACACAUGCAAGUCGAGCGAGCGGCGGACGGGUGAGUAAUGUCUGGGAAACUGCCUGAUGGAGGGGGAUAACUACUGGAAACGGAAGCUAAUACCGCAUACCAUCGGAUGUGCCCAGAUGGGAUUAGCUAGUAGGUGGGGUAACGGCGCACCUAGGCGACGAUCCCUAGCUGGUCUGAGAGGAGGACCAGCCACACUGGAACUGAGACACGGUCCAGACUCCGACGGGAGUCAGCAGGGGGGAAUAGUGCACAAGGGGCGCAAGCCUGAUGCAGCCAGGCCGCGUGUGUGAAGAAGGCCUUCGGGUUGUAAAGCACGUUCAGCGGGGAGGCGUUACCCGCAGAAGAAGCACCGGCUAACUCCGUGCCAGCCGCCGCGGUAAUAC
RNAcentral lists this ribosomal RNA (406 nucleotides) under uncultured bacterium. RNAcentral describes it as "partial 16S ribosomal RNA". It matches the Rfam family "Bacterial small subunit ribosomal RNA", at positions 29 to 526 of the family's 1533-position model. The record is from RNAcentral.